AGAGUUUGAUCCUGGCUCAGAACGAACGCUGGCGGAGUGCUUAAUACAUGCAAGUCGUGCGAGAAAGCAGUCUUCGGAUUGUGAUUAGAGCGGCGAACGGGUGAGUAACACGUAAGCAACCUGCCCCUAAAUCUGGGAUAACCUUUCUAACGAGGGGCUAAUACCGGAUGUGAUCUUUUGAUUUCAUGAUUUUUAGAUUAAAGGUGACCUCUUCUUGAAAGUUACUGUUUAGGGAUGGGCUUGCGGACCAUUAGCUUGUUGGUGGGGUAAUGGCCUACCAAGGCGACGAUGGUUAGCCGACCUGAGAGGGUGAUCGGCCACAUUGGGACUGAGAUACGGCCCAGACUCCUACGGGAGGCAGCAGUAGGGAAUUUUGCGCAAUGGACGAAAGUCUGACGCAGCAACUCCGCGUGAGGGAUGAAGGCCUUCGGGUUGUAAACCUCUGUUGAGUGGGAAGAAAAAUUUUAUGGAUAAUACCCAUAAGACCUGACGGUACCACUCGAGGAAGCAUCGGCUAACUACGUGCCAGCAGCCGCGGUAAUACGUAGGGUGCAAGCGUUGUUCGGAAUCACUGGGCGUAAAGAGAGCGUAGGCGGAAGAGUAAGUUAGAAGUGAAAUGUAUCGGCUUAACCGGUAACCUGCUUUUAAUACUGCUUUUCUUGAGUAUGUGAGAGGAUGAUGGAAUUCCAGGUGUAGCGGUGGAAUGCGUAGAUAUCUGGAAGAACACCAGUUGCGAAGGCGGUCAUCUGGCACAAUACUGACGCUGAGGCUCGAAAGCUAGGGGAGCGAACAGGAUUAGAUACCCUGGUAGUCCUAGCCGUAAACGAUGGAUACUAGAUGCUGGAGGAAUUAAUCUUUCAGUGUCGGAGCUAACGCAUUAAGUAUCCCGCCUGGGGAGUACGCUCGCAAGGGUGAAACUCAAAGGAAUUGACGGGGGCCCGCACAAGCGGUGGAGCAUGUGCUUUAAUUCGAUGCAACGCGAAGAACCUUACCUGGUCUUGACAUGGGAAUGAAAGUUUCUAGAGAUAGAAGCCUUUCCUUCGGGAGCAUUCUACACAGGUGCUGCAUGGUUGUCGUCAGCUCGUGUCGUGAGAUGUUGGGUUAAGUCCCGCAACGAGCGCAACCCCUGUCCUUAGUUGCCAGCACGUCAUGGUGGGAACUCUAAGGAGACUGCCUGGAUUAACAGGAGGAAGGUGGGGAUGACGUCAAAUCCUCAUGGCCCUUACGACCAGGGCUAGACACGUGCUACAAUGGGCGGUACAGAGGGAUGCUAACUCGCGAGAGUACGCUAAUCCCUUAAAACCGUUCUCAGUUCGGAUCGGAGUCUGCAAUUCGACUCCGUGAAGUUGGAAUCGCUAGUAAUCGCGGAUCAGAAUGCCGCGGUGAAUACGUUCCCGGGCCUUGUACACACCGCCCGUCAAGCCAUGAAAGAUGGUAGUGCCCGAAGCCGUUUCUCUAACCGCAAGGAAGAAAACGUCGAAGGUAAGACUAUUGAUUGGGGCUAAGUCGUAACAAGGUA
This 1519-nucleotide ribosomal RNA is filed under the name metagenome. RNAcentral describes it as "bacterial SSU rRNA". It matches the Rfam family "Bacterial small subunit ribosomal RNA". The record is from RNAcentral.